RNAcentral lists this ribosomal RNA (465 nucleotides) under uncultured bacterium. RNAcentral describes it as "partial 16S ribosomal RNA". It matches the Rfam family "Bacterial small subunit ribosomal RNA", at positions 28 to 507 of the family's 1533-position model. The record is from RNAcentral.
GACGAACGCUGGCGGCGUGCUUAACACAUGCAAGUCGAACGGUAAGGCUCCAGCUUGCUGGGGUACACGAGUGGCGAGCGGGUGAGUAACACGUGGGUGACCUGCCCUGCACUUCGGGAUAAGCCUGGGAAACUGGGUCUAAUACCGGAUAGGACCGCACCGUGAGGGUGUGGUGGAAAGUUUUUUCGGUGUGGGAUGGGCCCGCGGCCUAUCAGCUUGUUGGUGGGGUGAUGGCCUACCAAGGCGGCGACGGGUAGCCGGCCUGAGAGGGUGGACGGCCACAUUGGGACUGAGACACGGCCCAGACUCCUACGGGAGGCAGCAGUGGGGAAUAUUGCACAAUGGGCGGAAGCCUGAUGCAGCGACGCCGCGUGGGGGAUGACGGCCUUCGGGUUGUAAACUCCUUUCACCAUCGACGAAGGGUUUCUGACGGUAGAUGGAGAAGAAGCACCGGCUAACUACGUG